Long non-coding RNA from Myotis lucifugus (little brown bat), 528 nucleotides. RefSeq lists it as uncharacterized. The record is from RefSeq and is a predicted model, not a curated record. Lineage: Eukaryota; Metazoa; Chordata; Mammalia; Chiroptera; Vespertilionidae. The transcript has 3 exons.
GUGGGAGGGUAAAUAAAUAUGAAGACUGUCUUAAACACUGUAUACAGUCAUCCUCAAUUUCCCUGUGGGAUUGGUUCCAGGACUUCCCCACCCCACCCCCCACACCCAAAUCUGAGGAUAUUCAACCUUUACCAAUCUCCUCAAACUCCUAAAACGACUCCGCAUCAGGGACAAUCCCAACUGCUUGAUAAGAAGAAAUGAGGACUUUUCUCGACUUUCUCCCUCUCAAAACAAACUCACCUGCAGCCGUACAGAAUGACAGCUGUUCCGUUUCAUUUUGAGUCUUGGAGUAUUCGUCUAAACUGUUCUGUUUGUUGGUUGAGCCUUCUAUGAAUCCUUAUCUUAAGCCAGAGUUCAUCUCUGUGAGAAUGUCAGGCUGAGAAGCUCAUCCACAAGGUGAUCUCCCAACUCCCGCUUCCCUCUCUGCACAUGGGCCUGAAUAGUGUGGACAAUAGGAUCAAAUAAUUACCUUCAGACUUUUGCUUUAACUGGAAUGUGGUUUGAUGGAUGAGAACAGAAAACCUCACU